AACAACAUUCCCCUCAUGUCUUUGGUAAACUGUAUUUUAAUUGAUGUCAGUCAGGAUUGUUUCAAUUUAGUUAUAGUUAAAUACCACCAUUCUUCAAACUGUGGUAUUGCUGUGUAAAUGUCUCAGUGUUCAGCUAUGGUUUAUGCGAGCUGGGGAUGUUGGGAUGUUUGUGGCUAACUUGUCUCUUCUGGGGGAUCUUAUAUUUUAUCUUGCCUUUUCGUGUGUCUUUCUGUAGACAUAUCUGAAGAGAUGGAUUAAGAAUGCUUUGGAUUAAAGGAUUGUGGAGCACAUGUCAAUCAUUUUAGGAUUGUCAAAAGGAGGAUUGAGGAGGAUCAGAUCAAUAAUGGAGGCAAUGGUUUGGAUUGGAGAGGGCUCACUGGAUCCCAAUCCUUGGAGCUGGAUCAUUGGAUUCAAAUCAUAAUGUGGAUAGGAUAGGGAGGCUGAAUGGCAAGGAUUCAUGGAGCGGGAUCAGAUUACCAGGAACAUAGGAGUGGAUUCCUGCCCCAACCAAACCGCAUUCGUGUGGAUUUUUUUAUUCAACUCAAUUGGCUAUUCCAAAGAUUUUUCUUUCCUAUUUUUGACGAUUGGAGCCCUUAUGAUGCACGAUGGAAUUUUUCAUUUUUUGGUAAAAGGAGCAAAGCGAGGACCUGGAGAGGUACGCUGGAGCAAUCUCCUUGGAAGGAUUCAGCACGAGUAGAUGGAAGCGCCGAUGUUUGAGCUCCUGCACGAAGGAACGGGUGCCCUGUGGGACAUGGAUGGAAUUUAUUAGUUAGGGGAAAAGAAGAAAGAGUUCUAACUGCUAACAGAAGGUGCUUUGCUUUUGGUAAUGAUAACAACUGAAGCGAUUGUGGAAGAGAAGUGUGAGAUCAGCCAGGCCCAGCGCUCCCCUCUGCCUUCCUCAGAAGCUGCUCAGACACUGCAGGCUGCGUCCCCACACCUGGGUUCUCCAGUACUGGCAGACUUGGAGACUGCGUGCAGGAGGCACAUCUAGCAUAAAGGAUGUGGAUGUUCCUUCGGUUUCCUGAUGAG
RNAcentral lists this long non-coding RNA (1029 nucleotides) under Chrysolophus pictus (golden pheasant). Its description in RNAcentral is "lncRNA (ENSCPIG00010010282.1)". The record is from RNAcentral. Lineage: Eukaryota; Metazoa; Chordata; Aves; Galliformes; Phasianidae.